GAUGAACGCUAGCGGCAGGCUUAAUACAUGCAAGUCAAGGGGGUAGCAAUACAACCGGCGCACGGGUGAGUAACGCGUACACAACAUACCAUAUACUGGAGUAUAGCUUUGGGAAACUGAAGGUAAUCCUCCAUAACAUUGCGAGAGGGCAUCUGAUUGCAAUUAAAGUUCCGGCGGUAUAUGAUUGGUGUGCGUUUGAUUAGCUAGUUGGUAGGGUAACGGCCUACCAAGGCGACGAUCAAUAGCUGGCGUGAGAGCGCGACCAGCCACACUGGAACUGAGACACGGUCCAGACUCCUACGGGAGGCAGCAGUAGGGAAUAUUGGACAAUGGGCGAAAGCCUGAUCCAGCCAUGCCGCGUGAUAGAUGAAGGCCCUCUGGGUUGUAAAUAUCUUUUAUCUGGGAAGAAACUCCUCUAUUCUUAGAGGCCUGACGGUACCAGAGGGAAUAAGCACCGGCUAACUCCGUGCCAGCAGCCGCGG
Molecule: ribosomal RNA, 482 nt
Filed under: uncultured bacterium
Lineage: Bacteria
Description: bacterial SSU rRNA
Rfam family: Bacterial small subunit ribosomal RNA
Source: RNAcentral